This 28-nucleotide non-coding RNA is filed under the name Mus musculus (house mouse). Lineage: Eukaryota; Metazoa; Chordata; Mammalia; Rodentia; Muridae. The record is from RNAcentral.
UAAACNGUUGGCUGUUGCUCGUGUUGCC